RNAcentral lists this small nuclear RNA (161 nucleotides) under Carlito syrichta (Philippine tarsier). Its description in RNAcentral is "U1 spliceosomal RNA (ENSTSYG00000029485.1)". It matches the Rfam family "U1 spliceosomal RNA". From Rfam's summary of the family: U1 is a small nuclear RNA (snRNA) component of the spliceosome (involved in pre-mRNA splicing). Its 5' end forms complementary base pairs with the 5' splice junction, thus defining the 5' donor site of an intron. The record is from RNAcentral. Lineage: Eukaryota; Metazoa; Chordata; Mammalia; Primates; Tarsiidae.
AUACUUACCUGGCAUGGGAUAUACCAUGAUCACGAAGAUGGUUUUCCCAGGGUGAAACUUAUGCUUUGCCCUCAAAUGUGCUGAUUCUUGUGAUUUCCCCAAAUAUGGGGAACUUGACUGCAUAAUUUGCAGUAGUGGGGGACUGCGUUUGCACCCUCCCU